UUCAAAGGUUCUUCCAAUGAACCCUACUAAUUUAUUUGCCGUCUUUACUGUUUCUGUGCAAUGUUGACUCGGCUUUAGGUCGUUUGACACAACGACACCAAGAUCUUUUUCUUUAUUGGCGCUUGACAGUGGCAUGUUAUUCAUUACAUAUUUCGCCUCAACAUUGAUGCUUCCGAUAUGUAAAAUUUUACUUUUCUAUAUUGAAUCUCAUCUGCCAUUUUUCUGCCCAGCUUGUUAGUUUAUCGAGGUCACACUGCAGUUCCUGCCAUUGUGACAGAUGUUACUCUACUUGUUAUUUUGUUGUCAUCUGCAAAUUUACUUAUUUUGCUAUUUAUCCCUUCAUCAAUAUCAUUAAUGUGCAUUAUAAAGAGUACUGGUCCUAAUACAGAACCUUGAGGAACGCCGCUAUUUACCUUAUGCCACUCUGACUCUUUUCCAUUUAUCACAACAUGCUGUUUUCUGUGAGAGAGCCAGUCUCUCAGCCAUUCCAGGGUGUUUCCGGCAAUGCCGUGAGCUUUUACUUUACUGACGAGUCUCUUAUGGGGAACAGUGUCGAAAGCGUUCUGGAAAUCAAGGUAGAUAAUAUCAACAGCUUUUGUGUCGUCAUAUGAGUUAAAUACUUCAUAAAAGAAGUCUAGUAAGUUUGUUAAGCAGGAACACUUGGUUUUGAAACCAUGUUGCGAAUCCUUUAUGAUUUUAUUUUCUUCUAAAUAUUUAACAAUUUUAUCUCUGAUUAUUGUUUCCAUCAGCUUGCACACUACUGAAGUGAGACUGAUCGGCCUGUAAUUGGCUGGGAGAGAUUUAUUUCCUUUUUUAAAGGGGAACUUUACCCGCUAGUAAAGUUUUAUUGAAUAAAAUUGUAAGCGGCUUCACGAGCUCAUUUCUUGCUUCUUUAAGAAGCCUGGGUGAUAUCUUGUCUGGCUCGGGUGUUUUGUUUACGUUCAUGCUCUUUGUGACUGAGAGGAUUUCACUUUCUGUGAUGGUGAAGUCUGGCAGCGUGGUGCCUCGUGACUGAGGCGUGGGGAUCAGCAGACUGCCCUGAGCAUCCUCAGUCGUGAAGACUGUUGAAAAGUACUUGUUCAGGGCGUUCGCCAUGUCUGUUUCGCUUUCUAUUUGUUUACCAUUUUCUGUUUUUAGUGGACCAAUCGUUGAUGUUAACACCCUUUUUGCUUUUACAUAGCUGUAAAAUUCUUUUGGGUUCGUUUUACAUGAGUUCGCGAUCUGAGCUUCAACAAAUUUAUUGUUGCAUUUGAUCAGCUUUUUAGUUUUUUUACGCAAUCUGUCGUGCUCUAGUUUAUCAUUAUUAUUUUGUGUUAGUAUGUAUUUGUGGUACGCAUUUUUCUUAGCAGCAUCCGAUUUCAUUAUUCCACCAUUUCGGUUUGGUGUUUUUUACCUUCCGUCUGUUUCGUUGUGGUACACACAAAAUCGCAGGAAAAGGAGGAGGAGGAGGAGGUUGUAGUAGUGGUAGUAGUAGUCAUAGUAGCAGUAGUAGUAGUUAGGUUAAGCUAGGUUAGGUUAGAUUAAGUUCAGUAUGUUUAGGUUAAGUUAAGCUAGGUUUGGUUGGGUUAAAUUAGAAUGAAGUUCAAUAUAGUCAGGUUUGUUUAGGUUAAGUUAAGCUAGGUUUGAUUUGGUUAAGUUAGGAUGAAGUUCAAUAUACCGUAUUUGAUGGCUCAUAAGACGCUACUUUUUUCUCAGAAAAAGGGUCAGUAAAUUAGCCUGCGUCCAAUGAGGCAAAGGUCCAACUUUGAGGCAGUAAUAGGUUACAAGUCUACGGCAACAGAGGCUCUAAAUUCAAACCACAGAUGUCUUUGCACAACUAAAUAAAGUCAUGAUUGGUAGUACGCCACAAAAUGCUCUUUCUUUCAAGGUACCAAUGUGUAGUAUCUCAUACUUACUGGUAAUCCACAUAGACUUUGACCAGUCAGGAAGAAUUUGCUUAACCAUGCACCACUUCUUCUUGGAGUUUUGUUGGGGCAGUGUAGGUUGUGAUGUCACAGCCUUUGAUGCCCCAAAGGUGAGGUAUCCAAUUAUAAUAUUAGACUAGAUGUGAUGGAGCUGGUUGGAUUUGUGGAGAAGGUUCUGGCAAGGUGGAGAUGGUGCACCACGUUUUUCAAAACAAACGCGGUCGGUUGCGCUCCGACGUGACGUACUCGGUGACACCGAGUGUGACGCCGUUAUACUGAUUGAGGUAAGACAAUAGCCACACUUUCAUACAAUUAAAAUUGAACCUAUCUUUUUAACAUUCUUGCUUUGCAUACAUAUGAAAAAGAUUGAAGCUAGAGAAACUUUUCUUUUAUGAAAAUAGACUAAUACACCUUGAGAACGAAUAUUUCUUCUAUAAAGGAAUUGAGUGUCAUGGGAUAGGCUGGCUUGAGGUGAUGAUCUGCAUAAUAUUCAUGUAAUAGCUUAUGCAAGAGUGUUUAAAACUUCCAGAUUUUAUUACACAACAUGAUGGAGUCAAAAAAACGACACAAUUACACAAUUGCAUACAAGCUACAAGUAAUACAAUAUGCUAAGGAAAACGGCAACAGAGCUGCUGCUAGGCAUUUUGGUCCACCUCCAACUGAGAAAAUGAUUCGUUUUUGGCGAAAACAAGAGGAAGAACUUCAGAAAGCUGUGAAAUCAAAACAUGGUCUUCGCACAAAGAAAGCUAAAUGGGUGGAACUGGAAGAGGAGAUGAAGGCUUGGGUUGUUGAUCAAAGGAAUCAGGGUGCAAUAGUAACAACUAAACAAAUAAUUUUUGAAGCUAAAGAAAGGGCAACUGCCAAAGGCUAUGAUGAUUUUGGUGGUAAUGAGGGCUGGUGUUAUAGAUUUAUGAAAAGGAAUGGAUUAGCAAUGCGAACUAAAACAAAAAUAUCACAAAAAAUGCCUAUGGCAUAUGAAAACAAAAUUCUUGAGUUUCAUAAAUACGUUAUAAAUCUCAGAAAGGACACCCAUUUUGAAAUGGGACAAAUUGCAAAUAUGGAUGAAGUACCACUGUCAUUUGAUGUGCCUUCUAAUAAAACAGUUGAUUUUAAAGGUUCUAAGACUGUGACUAUUAAAACCUCAGGCCAUGAGAAAACUCAUUUUACAGCAGUACUGGCUUGUUGUGCUGAUGGCACUAAAUUACCACCUUUCCUCAUAUUCAAGAGGAAAACCUUUCCCAAAGAAAGCAUUCCACCAGGUAUCUUUAUUCAUGUUCAUCCUAAGGGCUGGAUGGAUGAGGAUGGUGUGAAGCUGUGGCUUGACAAAGUAUGGUCACGGCGUCCUGGGGGACUUAUAAAAAAAACAUCACUUCUUGUGUGGGAUCAAUUUAGGGCUCAUUUAACUCAGGCUACCAAGAACAGAGUACACAAUCUAAACACAAAAGUGGCUGUAAUACCUGGUGGACUAACAUGCCAGUUGCAACCACUUGAUGUUUGCAUAAACAAACCUUUCAAGGUGUAUAUGCGUGAGCAGUGGAACGCGUGGAUGAGACUCCCGCAACAUGACAAAACACCAUCGGGCUUCAUCAAGAAGCCUACAAUAGCCUAGGUUUGCCAGUGGGUAAAAAUUGCUUGGGAUAAAGUAAAAACAGAGACAGUGGUGCUUUCAUUCAAGAAAUGUGGCAUCAGUAAUGAUCUUGAGGGCACAGAGGAUGACCUUCUAUACGAAGGCAGUGACUCUUCUACUUCUAGUAGUGAUUCUGGUGAGCUUGAGGAAUGCAGUACUGAUGACAGUGACAAUGAUUUUGUAGGGUUUGGAUGUGAAUAAAAAUGCUACAGUUGUGCUAAGCAAAUUUCAGAAUGAAUAAAAUCAAUUUAUUUUCAUGAAUUUGAAUUAAAAACUCUUUAGUUUUGUUGUGUAAGAUUUCAGAAUGAAUAAGAUCAAUUUAUUUGCACGAAAAUUUAUUUGAAUUAAAAAAAGGAAUGAAACACUUCAGAUUUGUUUUUUUACUUUUGUAACUUCUAAGAAUAAAACUAAUUUAUUUUCACGGAUUUGAAUUUGAAUAAAAUGUAGUAGGUAAACUAUAGUAAUUUGUGCAAGGUAUUCAAAGUGAAUAUUAUGAAUUUGUUGUGAUUUGAAUACGAAUUAAAAGAUACAAUUGUACUAAAUUUUAUGAUGAAUGAAAUAAUAUUUCAAGUAAAAUACACUUUAGAAAAUAAAGUUAGUAAGUCUGCUUUUACACAUCCUUUGGCUUUGAAAAUGUACUAAAAUACUGCAUAAGAAUUACAUGUGAAAGAUGCUAAAAAAUAAAGUAUGAAAAAAUUUUAUUAUCACUGUAGUCCCUCAGUUAAUGGUGCCGCGGCUGCCGCCAAGAGCUAGGUGCAGUUAAUGUUUACAUUCAGCUGAACCGCAUUAAGACUGAAACUCCCCUGCUUACCACACCUUUUGGGCACUAGAGGCUGUGACAUCACAGUCUGCAUGGCCCCAACUAAAAUACCAAUAAGAAGAUUGUGUUUACACGUCAGCAGGAUUGGUACAAUCUUGUCUUUCAAUACCCUCAACCGAACCAUUACGUUCUGGCUUUCAAGGCCCGCAACCUUACCAAGAUUUGACUCCAGAAAUCCAACCAGCUCCACUGUAUCUAGUCUGAAACACUACCUGUAUACCACACCUUUGGGACGCCAGGCUGUGAUGUCACGGCCAUCACAGCCUCAACAAAACCCCAAAAAGAACAAAACUGGGUGCGUCUUAUGAGCCCGUGCGUCUUAUGAGCCAUCAAAUACGGAUGUGCCAGAGCAGCUGCUGUUUGUGCACCGCAGCCAGCAGGAGGUGAAGGAGUUACACUGGCACCCUCAGAUCCCCGGCCUGCUGGUGUCCACGGCUCACAGCGGCUUCAAUAUCUUUAAGACCAUCAGCUGCUAUUUCUCUGCACCGCAGCCGCGCGUCCUCGUCAACUCGUGCAGCUCUUCCCGAACGCCUCCCGCGUCUUGGGAGUCUUUCUGAUCCGCAGCAGCAGAGUGCUUUCUUAAUCUUUCCAGGCAGAGGAGGAGGUGAAGAAGGCACCGCUGACCCCUGACCUGGAAAGCAAGGUCACCAAGAUUAAGGUGUCCAGUGGGAAGCAGCCCACACUACUACUACCAUCACCAUCACCACCAGGGCAGCCCCGUCCCAGAGCCAAAUGUCCCCCUGGCUGGUGGCUGACCCUCCUCCCCCCCACGACCAGGAGGGCCGUGAUUGGCCCUCCUGGAGGAAAGGUUUAUGGUAGUUUUUUUGAGGUUUUUGACUGGUUGAGAGUAUUAGUGUGUGUGUGUGUGUGCAACACACACACACACACACACACACUUGAGCAACAGACAAACAAACAAACAAACACAAACAAGAACAUUCCAGUAAAUCAUUCAUCUCAUUAUGAAAAUAGUGUCACUAUUAUUAUUAUUAUUAUUAUUAUUAUUAUUAUUAUUAUUAUUGGUUUUAUUGUACUUAAGUAACUUAGCUCAUUAUUUUUAUAGAUUUUUGACUGACUGUGUGUGUGUGUGAGAAAGAGAGAGAGAGAGACUGACUGACUGACUAACCGAAUAUAAACAUUCUUUGCGCACACACACACACACACACACACACACACACACACACACA
This is an RNA transcript of Scylla paramamosain (green mud crab), 5538 nucleotides long. It is a transcript of the gene named glutamate-rich WD repeat-containing protein 1-like, with no coding region annotated. The record is from RefSeq and is a predicted model, not a curated record. NCBI's taxonomy places the organism in Eukaryota, Metazoa, Arthropoda, Malacostraca, Decapoda, Portunidae. The transcript is spliced from 6 exons.